Molecule: small RNA, 127 nt
Filed under: Salmonella enterica subsp. diarizonae serovar 50:k:z
Lineage: Bacteria; Pseudomonadati; Pseudomonadota; Gammaproteobacteria; Enterobacterales; Enterobacteriaceae
Description: RtT sRNA
Rfam family: RtT RNA
About the family: This family represents a bacterial cis-regulatory element known as RtT RNA.
Source: RNAcentral
UCUCCGUACGGGGAAGGAUGAGAAGCUUCGACUAAGGUUCGAUUCGAGCGCAGCGAGAAAACGUUGCCGCAGGCAACGACCCGAAGGGUGAGGAGCGGAGCGACGAAUAAUCCUUCCCCCACCACCA